Molecule: long non-coding RNA, 2142 nt
Organism: Numida meleagris (helmeted guineafowl)
Lineage: Eukaryota; Metazoa; Chordata; Aves; Galliformes; Numididae
Exons: 2
Source: RefSeq, a predicted model, not a curated record
AACUGCUGGUAUUUUAUGCAAGGAAAAGUUAGAAAAGUAUUUUGUCUACUGGUAAGACUAAAGUGCUGCACUGUGUUGGAAGAAGACAGAGCACAAAAGCUCUGCAGUUGCUGAGCUACCAUUUGUUUAAUGACUGCCACUGUAAAAUGCUGAUUGAUACGUGUGCUUUAUUUAAUUUUGAUGUUUUUGUCUUAAUCUAUAGUGUUUGCUAGUAUCACCAACUAAUUAACGAUUAACUAAAACCUUUUCUAAAACCUAUGUGACACUGACACUUGAAGCAGUGCCAUGACACUUACAAGAACUACAAUCCGAUUACAAUCACAGACAAAAGGUUUGUGGAGCUUCAAAAGGUGCAAGGGAGCGAAGAUACUGCUCUCCUUGCCAGUCCCUGCUCUCUGCCAUUAACACAGCCUCACAGUGGACCUGUCUGCUGUCUGUAGAUACUGGUAUUGUUUGCCAUCAGUUCACUGUGAGCUGUGGCACACUCCUGGAAUGAGAACACCACGGCAGUGCACUGGAGAAAACAUAAUUUUGAAAUUGCCAUCUGGAAACAUGAGAAAGGCUAAAGAUUACAUGACAUAAAAGUCUUGUGAUUUGGGGUGUGAUGCCACAUGGAUCACUGCUGCUGUCAAGUCAAAUGUCCUUGUGAAUGCUAUUAGAAAACAGCUGUGAACCCUGCAGCACAAGGCUUUAUUUUGCUUAUAAUUUAGAUGGGAAGUCUGCACAGAGCUAGACAGGCUGAAGCUGUGUAAGCAGGGACAUUGCCUAUAUAAGCAUUUCUGUUUGUGCUGCAUUUGUAUUCUUUCCUCUGUGUGCUCAGAAGCUCGCCCUGCAGACUAUCUGAUAGCAGAGCAAUGCAUGGCAGCCCAGUGUUCUGACUUUGUUUCCCACAUCUCAGGAAAGAUCUGUCUUCAGUAAAGCGAGAGAAAGAAGAUUUGUGUCUUCAAGCAGAGUGAUCUGUGAAGCCAUGACCCUGCUGUAGAGAACGCCUUGUCUUUCAUUAUCCCAGGGUUCAGAGGAACAGUGCUAUCAACAUGCAAAGAAAGAGGCUUUUCUAAGAUAUUCUUGGACAGUUUCACAGAAGAUCUUUAAAAUAAAUGUCAGGACUUAGAAUUGAUGUAGAAAGUAUUGGGGGGAAGGCAGAAGCCUUCUACGGCUCUUCAGAUGACUUCUUUGAAGGUCGAGGAAGCAGCUAUCCAUGACCAUCUCAUGUGAGCAAACAUUUUCGCAAACAGAAAGGACGCACUUCAAAGGCUCUCUUGAUAUCAUUAGUGUCUGAGAUAACAAAGUUAUGCUGAAGCUAGCUAUAGCAAACGCUCUCCCUGUCUGUGGGAGACCACACAUCCGUGCUACCAGCACCACCAUUCCACGGCUACACCUGAACCUCUGCUAAGAACUGAGUAUUCAGCACCAGGUAGAUGCAAGGGAAGCAAUGCCUCAAGGGCCACUCUGCUAUCUUGUUUGUGUGCAGGAGGUCUGACUGCAAGUAGAAGCUUGGAAGGUCUAGUUGCUGCAGAGGUUGUAUCUACAGAUAUUGGACUGACGGAACAGCAGCACUGUUCAGAGUGGAGCUGAGCCUGACCUCUUCAAAGGAACCAUUAACACUGCUUGUCAGCUGCAGCCGACACUGCUCCAGGCUUCCCUUACCAGCCAUCCCAGAGUGAAUUAUAAGGGGUGCCUGUUGCUUUACAACACAUCUAAGGGGUCUUGUGAUACCAAAACGCCCUAAACUGAACAAUGGGAGGAUGCUGUUCAGGAUGUACUUUCUUCUUUAUUUCGUCAAUGGCCAACUUCUGCAGUACUCAAUAAAGUUCCCCAUAGAAUGAAGAACACUCACUCUGGGGGCAUAAAUAUACUUUUGAUUAAAAAAAAAGACAUGAUUCAGAUGUUGUAACUGCAGUAUUUUUAAGGUCAGCAUGCCUGUAGCUGCCUGUAGUGGAUGAAAGCAUCCAUCACCAUACAUGGCUUUCACCAUCCAUGCAGGCACACUGUCAGAGCACUAUAAUGCCUUACUGCAAGCCAAAGGCAGCUUCCAAGUCUGCAUAUGCAAGUAAUUAGGAAACUUGAUGUGUGCAGUUCUGUUUUCCCUCUGUUUUCCACAGUACCUAAAACACCGUAUAAAUUAAAGUUAUAAAAAUCUUA